CAGGACCUAACACAUGCAAGUCGAGCGGUAGCACAGAGAGCUUGCUCUCGGGUGACGAGCGGCGGACGGGUGAGUAAUGUCUGGGAAACUGCCUGAUGGAGGGGGAUAACUACUGGAAACGGUAGCUAAUACCGCAUAAUGUCGCAAGACCAAAGUGGGGGACCUUCGGGCCUCAUGCCAUCAGAUGUGCCCAGAUGGGAUUAGCUAGUAGGUGGGGUAACGGCUCACCUAGGCGACGAUCCCUAGCUGGUCUGAGAGGAUGACCAGCCACACUGGAACUGAGACACGGUCCAGACUCCUACGGGAGGCAGCAGUGGGGAAUAUUGCACAAUGGGCGCAAGCCUGAUGCAGCCAUGCCGCGUGUGUGAAGAAGGCCUUCGGGUUGUAAAGCACUUUCAGCGGGGAGGAAGGCGUUAAGGUUAAUAACCUUGGCGAUUGACGUUACCCGCAGAAGAAGCACCGGCUAACUCCGUGCCAGCAGCCGCGGUAAUACGGAGGGUGCAAGCGUUAAUCGGAAUUACUGGGCGUAAAGCGCACGCAGGCGGUCUGUCAAGUCGGAUGUGAAAUCCCCGGGCUCAACCUGGGAACUGCAUUCGAAACUGGCAGGCUAGAUCUUGUAGAGGGGGUAGAAUUCCAGGUGUAGCGGUGAAAUGCUAGAGAUCUGGAGGAAUACC
RNAcentral lists this ribosomal RNA (674 nucleotides) under Klebsiella pneumoniae. RNAcentral describes it as "bacterial SSU rRNA". It matches the Rfam family "Bacterial small subunit ribosomal RNA", at positions 43 to 710 of the family's 1533-position model. The record is from RNAcentral. Lineage: Bacteria; Pseudomonadati; Pseudomonadota; Gammaproteobacteria; Enterobacterales; Enterobacteriaceae.